GUAUCUGUAGCUCAGUUGGAUAGAGCAACUCCCUCCUAAGGAGUAGGUCAUGAGUUCAACUCUCGUCAGGUACA
This 74-nucleotide transfer RNA is filed under the name Cetobacterium somerae ATCC BAA-474. It matches the Rfam family "tRNA". From Rfam's summary of the family: Transfer RNA (tRNA) molecules are approximately 80 nucleotides in length. The record is from Rfam by way of RNAcentral. Lineage: Bacteria; Fusobacteriati; Fusobacteriota; Fusobacteriia; Fusobacteriales; Fusobacteriaceae.